CGAGUCGGCCGGGCGGCCGCGGCGAGCGGAACGGCCAGGUCACUGGAUAUGCCGCUCGCCGAGGAAAGUCCGGACUCCGCAGAGCAGGGUGGUUGUCAACGGCAACCCGGGGUGACCCGCGGGACAGUGCCACAGAGAACAGACCGCCGACCGAGGUCGGUAAGGGUGAAAC
This 172-nucleotide RNase P RNA is filed under the name Mycobacterium tuberculosis. Its description in RNAcentral is "partial RNase P RNA component class A". It matches the Rfam family "Bacterial RNase P class A", at positions 1 to 160 of the family's 367-position model. Rfam says of the family: Ribonuclease P (RNase P) is a ubiquitous endoribonuclease, found in archaea, bacteria and eukarya as well as chloroplasts and mitochondria. The record is from RNAcentral. Lineage: Bacteria; Bacillati; Actinomycetota; Actinomycetes; Mycobacteriales; Mycobacteriaceae.